AUUUCAGUGGCUGUGGCAACAGAUAAAGGCUUACUUACUCCAAUCAUAAAAGAUGCUGCUGCUAAAGGUAUCCAGGAAAUUGCUGACUCUGUAAAGGCUCUAUCAAAGAAAGCAAGAGAUGGAAAAUUGUUGCCUGAAGAAUACCAAGGAGGAUCUUUUAGACGGAGUCUGGCUCUGUCGCCCAGGUUGCAAUGCAGUGGUAUGAUCUAGGCUCACUGCAACCUCCACCUCCUGGGUUCAAGCGAUUCUCCUGCCUCAGCCUCCCAAGUAGCUGGGACUACAGGCACCCACCACUAUGCCUGGCUAAUUUUUGUAUUUUUAGUAGAGACGAGGUUUCACCAUGUUGACCGGGCUGGUCUCAAAUUCCCGACCUCAGAUGAUCUGCCUGCCUCAGCCUCGCAAAUAAGAAUAUAUUUCAGUGUCUUCUUGUUUACUAGCUUUGUUUCUAUUAAUGGCAGUUCUCCAAAAUCUUCAAGAGCUACACUUUGGGAACUUUCCAUUUAUUGUAUACUUUAAUUAAAGGUUUCCAACUGAUUUUAAAUUAA
Molecule: small RNA, 545 nt
Filed under: Pan troglodytes (chimpanzee)
Lineage: Eukaryota; Metazoa; Chordata; Mammalia; Primates; Hominidae
Description: processed transcript
Source: RNAcentral